This 162-nucleotide long non-coding RNA is filed under the name Mustela putorius furo (domestic ferret). Its description in RNAcentral is "lncRNA (ENSMPUG00000026235.1)". Lineage: Eukaryota; Metazoa; Chordata; Mammalia; Carnivora; Mustelidae. The record is from RNAcentral.
CUGGUAUUAUAUUUGAUUUCAGAGGAGCUAGACUGCCAAUCUGAACAGCAUUGGACAACAUGGAAAACCAGAAAAGGAUAAGCAGCUUGCAGAAGAGGAGGAGAACUCACACUGAAAUGGUGAAGUUGUAAGACUGAAGCAUCUUAGAUUGCUGAAUCACCA